Molecule: ribosomal RNA, 497 nt
Filed under: uncultured bacterium
Lineage: Bacteria
Description: partial 16S ribosomal RNA
Rfam family: Bacterial small subunit ribosomal RNA
Source: RNAcentral
GAUGAACGCUGGCGGCGUGCCUAAUACAUGCAAGUCGAGCGAACAGAUGAGGAGCUUGCUCCUCUGACGUUAGCGGCGGACGGGUGAGUAACACGUGGAUAACCUACCUAUAAGACUGGGAUAACUUCGGGAAACCGGAGCUAAUACCGGAUAAUAUAUUGAACCGCAUGGUUCAAUAGUGAAAGACGGUUUUGCUGUCACUUAUAGAUGGAUCCGCGCCGCAUUAGCUAGUUGGUAAGGUAACGGCUUACCAAGGCAACGAUGCGUAGCCGACCUGAGAGGGUGGUCGGCCACACGGGAACUGAGACACGGUCCAGACACCUACGGGAGGACGCAGUAGGGAAUCUUCCGCAAUGGGCGAAAGCCUGACGGAGCAACGCCGCGUGAGUGAUGAAGGUCUUCGGAUCGUAAAACUCUGUUAUUAGGGAAGAACAAAUGUGUAAGCAACUAUGCACGUCUUGACGGUACCUAAUCAGAAAGCCACGGCUAACUACGUG